UCUUAAAUCAUGAUUAAAAGAGGAAUCAGUUAAAAUGGUCCCUAGUUAUAUGGGUGUGGCUGUGGUAAAUCAUUACUUUUACCCUCAAGAACAAAACCCUAUAUAUGUCAAAGACCUAGGGAAAAGUAAGAGUUUUAUUACCUAUCAAAAAUCAGUAUUUAGGAGAGAUUCAACUGUAUUUAUAUUCAUCAUCAUAGUAUUUUGAAGUACUCACUUCAGCAUGAAACAUAGGAAAUUCCAAUUUUACAGCAUUUGCGAUCGUGCGUUUUCUUGCUUAAGACAAUAUAACCUGCAGAGUGUAAUACCUUGACAUCACUGGGUCUUCCAAACAAGUUGCCGUAAAACAUAAACUAUGAUUAUUGAGUCUUAAAGAAAUUAUUUGCUCAUGGGUACUCAAGUGAUUUGAAAGUUGGGAUCUAAGACCACGUUAAUGAACAGAAUUUGCUACUUUGUAUCAACUUGGAAAUAUAUUUCUUAUUUAAUUUUGUAGAACAAAUAUACUUCCUGGGAUAAGUGGAGGAUAUAUUAAGUACCCUCUGAUGAAUUUUUUCAGUGUCUAGUUAACUUAACGUUUAAAUUUUCAAUUUGAAGAAAUAAACUGGGAACAGUAAUGGGACAACAGGGUGCUAACCCAAUAAAAAAAGUCACUUUCAGUUUGUUAGUGCAUAUUUAUGUUGCAAUGUAAGUUUCAUAAUUAAGUAGUGAAUCUAAGUUAAAAUUCUGUUUACAGUUUUUGCAAAUUUCACCUUGGAGAAUUGUUGAGUGAAUUGUUUGCUUCAUUUGAGGAUGUAGAAUAAAUUAUAUUUUCCAUAAAAUGUCACCAACAGUGCUUAUUUCCAAACAAAAAAUAAUUAUGUAUGUGGCUAGGUCUACUCACUUUGUAAUACCUCUUUUGGGGCUCUUCUGUCAGAACUGAGGACACUUACAGUAUCUAGAGCCUUUUCUAGGGAAUAUAACAAAAGCUUUUCUCCCUCUUCUAGCCCCCACAAAUUUUACAUCUUGCUGC
This 1006-nucleotide long non-coding RNA is filed under the name Homo sapiens (human). Its description in RNAcentral is "HSALNT0088434". Lineage: Eukaryota; Metazoa; Chordata; Mammalia; Primates; Hominidae. The record is from RNAcentral.